GGAAGAGACCAUAGACUCAACAGGAGGGGGAGUCCUGGGUAGCGCGCCGGUCUAAAUCGUUACUUGGCGGAAAGUUCCCAUGAGUCUUUGCCAGCGUCCCCCUCCUUUUGUGAGGAUUGGGAUAUUCCGACUCCUUAAGGGCCUGGCGCACAUAAGGGCCACAUCUGCCAGAGCCUGGAGUCUGCGAAGGCCGGGACCCGGUUCCCCGGCCCACAGUGGGGGUGUGCAAACCCGAGAGAACUGGGUUGCAAAUUCGUGAAGAAUCAGCAUCAUGUUUGGCAGCUGAGUAUUGGAGCCAGGAGCCUGCCAUGAGGUUUUGAGAACAGAGUGCUGUUUUAGAGCUGGCAGCAGCAUCUCAGCCCAAGAGAAGUUUCUUUGCAGGUUAUAUUCCCAGAGGAUGUCAGUCCCAAGGACCAGUAGCUGCCAUCAGUUUGGAUUCUGAAAACUAACUGGCAUCAACACUGGGUGUAGAAACAUGCUUGCCUUAUGUAUCAGAGGACAUGCUCAGCAGAUCCAAGAGAUAUAUUUGGCAACUUUUUCUAGAAAAGGCACAUUGGCCGAUGCAGCCUCAGUGUUCCUUUGCCUUGGGGGUUUCUGAGUGGUGGGGUUGUAAGCAGAUCCUGCCAGGCACCCAGAAGGAAACCUCAUCAGGACUCCCUCAGAAAGCAGGCCCUGAAGAAUCCUGUGACCUUCAUCUAAAGUAGGUCAUGAGACCCCUGAGCUUAAAACGGAGUGAUCGGCUUUGGAGAAGUAAGGAGACAUGACGUGCCUGCCCUGGGGUGGGGACUAAACUUCGUGCCACUCCACGUGAAAGGGGGAGAAAUCCCUGGAAGGCACGCAGGCUGGACAUCAUCAUAUAUUCUCUACAGAUGGAGACACCAAGGCCCACGCCUUCUGUGCUGUUGGAAUUUCAGGAAGGAUGGGGGUGGGGCACGGCCUCAGCCCUGGGCAUGUUCUGCAGAUUGCACUGCUCUUAUCUGCCAGGGGGUGGUGAGAGGGUGGCUGAGCUGGACAGAUGGCGGGCAGGGACGGGCUCUGCGGUCUGGCAGCUGACAUUGAUACAAGCAAAAAAAGAGUCUUUGCUGGGGGCUCUGGAGGG
This 1099-nucleotide long non-coding RNA is filed under the name Homo sapiens (human). Its description in RNAcentral is "HSALNT0388758". The record is from RNAcentral. Lineage: Eukaryota; Metazoa; Chordata; Mammalia; Primates; Hominidae.